This 805-nucleotide ribosomal RNA is filed under the name Herminiimonas sp. SOK57. RNAcentral describes it as "bacterial SSU rRNA". It matches the Rfam family "Bacterial small subunit ribosomal RNA", at positions 54 to 854 of the family's 1533-position model. The record is from RNAcentral. Lineage: Bacteria; Pseudomonadati; Pseudomonadota; Betaproteobacteria; Burkholderiales; Oxalobacteraceae.
CAUGCAGUCGAACGGCAGCACGGGAGCUUGCUCCUGGUGGCGAGUGGCGAACGGGUGAGUAAUAUAUCGGAACGUACCCUAGAGUGGGGGAUAACGCAGCGAAAGUUGCGCUAAUACCGCAUACGAUCUACGGAUGAAAGUGGGGGAUCGCAAGACCUCAUGCUCAUGGAGCGGCCGAUAUCUGAUUAGCUAGUUGGUAGGGUAAAAGCCUACCAAGGCUUCGAUCAGUAGCUGGUCUGAGAGGACGACCAGCCACACUGGAACUGAGACACGGUCCAGACUCCUACGGGAGGCAGCAGUGGGGAAUUUUGGACAAUGGGCGCAAGCCUGAUCCAGCAAUGCCGCGUGAGUGAAGAAGGCCUUCGGGUUGUAAAGCUCUUUUGUCAGGGAAGAAACGGUGGACUCUAAUACAGAUCACUAAUGACGGUACCUGAAGAAUAAGCACCGGCUAACUACGUGCCAGCAGCCGCGGUAAUACGUAGGGUGCAAGCGUUAAUCGGAAUUACUGGGCGUAAAGCGUGCGCAGGCGGUUUGGUAAGACAGAUGUGAAAUCCCUGGGCUCAACCUAGGAAUUGCAUUUGUGACUGCCCGACUAGAGUGUGUCAGAGGGGGGUAGAAUUCCACGUGUAGCAGUGAAAUGCGUAGAGAUGUGGAGGAAUACCGAUGGCGAAGGCAGCCCCCUGGGAUAACACUGACGCUCAUGCACGAAAGCGUGGGGAGCAAACAGGAUUAGAUACCCUGGUAGUCCACGCCCUAAACGAUGUCUACUAGUUGUUGGGUCUUAAUUGACUUAGUAACGCAGCUA